GUCAUAUGCUUGUCUCAAAGAUUAAGCCAUGCAUGUCUCAGUACAAGCCAAAUUAAGGUGAAACCGCGAAAGGCUCAUUAAAUCAGUUAUGGUUCCUUAGAUCGUACCCACAAUUACUUGGAUAACUGUGGUAAUUCUAGAGCUAAUACAUGCAAACAGAGCUCCGACCGGAGACGGGAGGAGUGCUUUUAUUAGAUCAAAACCAAUCGGUGGCGGGUUCGCUCGUCAUCGUACAACUUGGUGACUCUGAAUAACUUUACGCUGAUCGCACGGUCAUCGCACCGGCGACGCAUCUUUCAAAUGUCUGCCUUAUCAACUGUCGAUGGUAGGUUCUGCGCCUACCAUGGUUGUAACGGGUAACGGGGAAUCAGGGUUCGAUUCCGGAGAGGGAGCCUGAGAAACGGCUACCACAUCCAAGGAAGGCAGCAGGCGCGCAAAUUACCCACUCCCGGCACGGGGAGGUAGUGACGAAAAAUAACGAUACGGGACUCAUCCGAGGCCCCGUAAUCGGAAUGAGUACACUCUAAACCCUUUAACGAGGAUCAAUUGGAGGGCAAGUCUGGUGCCAGCAGCCGCGGUAAUUCCAGCUCCAAUAGCGUAUAUUAAAGUUGUUGCGGUUAAAAAGCUCGUAGUCGAAUUUGUGUCCCGCGCCGCCGGUUCAUCGUCCGCGGUGUUAACUGGCGAGUCGCGGGACGUCCUGCCGGUGGGCUUAGCUCGCGAGGGCGGCCCAACUCAAUCCUGCCGCGGUGCUCUUCAUUGAGUGUCGAGGUGGGCCGGCACGUUUACUUUGAACAAAUUAGAGUGCUUAAAGCAGGCUAAAACUUCGCCUGAAUACUGUGUGCAUGGAAUAAUGGAAUAGGACCUCGGUUCUAUUUUGUUGGUUUUCGGAACCCCGAGGUAAUGAUUAAUAGGAACGGAUGGGGGCAUUCGUAUUGCGACGUUAGAGGUGAAAUUCUUGGAUCGUCGC
RNAcentral lists this ribosomal RNA (967 nucleotides) under Trigonopterus sp. 898 AR-2022a. Its description in RNAcentral is "SSU rRNA". It matches the Rfam family "Eukaryotic small subunit ribosomal RNA", at positions 23 to 931 of the family's 1831-position model. The record is from RNAcentral. Lineage: Eukaryota; Metazoa; Arthropoda; Insecta; Coleoptera; Curculionidae.